This 1716-nucleotide ribosomal RNA is filed under the name Escherichia coli 1-110-08_S4_C1. Its description in RNAcentral is "bacterial LSU rRNA". It matches the Rfam family "Bacterial large subunit ribosomal RNA", at positions 1 to 1762 of the family's 2925-position model. The record is from RNAcentral. Lineage: Bacteria; Pseudomonadati; Pseudomonadota; Gammaproteobacteria; Enterobacterales; Enterobacteriaceae.
UUAAGCGACUAAGCGUACACGGUGGAUGCCCUGGCAGUCAGAGGCGAUGAAGGACGUGCUAAUCUGCGAUAAGCGUCGGUAAGGUGAUAUGAACCGUUAUAACCGGCGAUUUCCGAAUGGGGAAACCCAGUGUGAUUCGUCACACUAUCAUUAACUGAAUCCAUAGGUUAAUGAGGCGAACCGGGGGAACUGAAACAUCUAAGUACCCCGAGGAAAAGAAAUCAACCGAGAUUCCCCCAGUAGCGGCGAGCGAACGGGGAGCAGCCCAGAGCCUGAAUCAGUGUGUGUGUUAGUGGAAGCGUCUGGAAAGGCGCGCGAUACAGGGUGACAGCCCCGUACACAAAAAUGCACAUACUGUGAGCUCGAUGAGUAGGGCGGGACACGUGGUAUCCUGUCUGAAUAUGGGGGGACCAUCCUCCAAGGCUAAAUACUCCUGACUGACCGAUAGUGAACCAGUACCGUGAGGGAAAGGCGAAAAGAACCCCGGCGAGGGGAGUGAAAAAGAACCUGAAACCGUGUACGUACAAGCAGUGGGAGCACGCUUCGGCGUGUGACUGCGUACCUUUUGUAUAAUGGGUCAGCGACUUAUAUUCUGUAGCAAGGUUAACCGAAUAGGGGAGCCGAAGGGAAACCGAGUCUUAACUGGGCGUUAAGUUGCAGGGUAUAGACCCGAAACCCGGUGAUCUAGCCAUGGGCAGGUUGAAGGUUGGGUAACACUAACUGGAGGACCGAACCGACUAAUGUUGAAAAAUUAGCGGAUGACUUGUGGCUGGGGGUGAAAGGCCAAUCAAACCGGGAGAUAGCUGGUUCUCCCCGAAAGCUAUUUAGGUAGCGCCUCGUGAAUUCAUCUCCGGGGGUAGAGCACUGUUUCGGCAAGGGGGUCAUCCCGACUUACCAACCCGAUGCAAACUGCGAAUACCGGAGAAUGUUAUCACGGGAGACACACGGCGGGUGCUAACGUCCGUCGUGAAGAGGGAAACAACCCAGACCGCCAGCUAAGGUCCCAAAGUCAUGGUUAAGUGGGAAACGAUGUGGGAAGGCCCAGACAGCCAGGAUGUUGGCUUAGAAGCAGCCAUCAUUUAAAGAAAGCGUAAUAGCUCACUGGUCGAGUCGGCCUGCGCGGAAGAUGUAACGGGGCUAAACCAUGCACCGAAGCUGCGGCAGCGACACUAUGUGUUGUUGGGUAGGGGAGCGUUCUGUAAGCCUGUGAAGGUGUACUGUGAGGUAUGCUGGAGGUAUCAGAAGUGCGAAUGCUGACAUAAGUAACGAUAAAGCGUGUGAAAAGCCCGCUCGCCGGAAGACCAAGGGUUCCUGUCCAACGUUAAUCGGGGCAGGGUGAGUCGACCCCUAAGGCGAGGCCGAAAGGCGUAGUCGAUGGGAAACAGGUUAAUAUUCCUGUACUUGGUGUUACUGCGAAGGGGGGACGGAGAAGGCUAUGUUGGCCGGGCGACGGUUGUCCCGGUUUAAGCGUGUAGGCUGGUUUUCCAGGCAAAUCCGGAAAAUCAAGGCUGAGGCGUGAUGACGAGGCACUACGGUGCUGAAGCAACAAAUGCCCUGCUUCCAGGAAAAGCCUCUAAGCAUCAGGUAACAUCAAAUCGUACCCCAAACCGACACAGGUGGUCAGGUAGAGAAUACCAAGGCGCUUGAGAGAACUCGGGUGAAGGAACUAGGCAAAAUGGUGCCGUAACUUCGGGAGAAGGCACGCUGAUAUGUAGG